Molecule: ribosomal RNA, 301 nt
Filed under: uncultured bacterium
Lineage: Bacteria
Description: partial 16S ribosomal RNA
Rfam family: Bacterial small subunit ribosomal RNA
Source: RNAcentral
CAGUCGCCGCGGUAAUCCGAAGGGUGCAAGCGUUACUCGGAAUUACUGGGCGUAAAGCGUGCGUAGGUGGUGGUUUAAGUCCGUUGUGAAAGCCCUGGGCUCAACCUGGGAAUUGCAGUGGAUACUGGGUCACUAGAGUGUGGUAGAGGAUAGUGGAAUUUCCGGUGUAGCAGUGAAAUGCGUAGAGAUCGGAAGGAACAUCUGUGGCGAAGGCGACUAUCUGGGCCAACACUGACACUGAGGCACGAAAGCGUGGGGAGCAAACAGGAUUAGAUACCCGCGUAGUCCCUGUCUCUUAUAC